AUGUUUGCGUGUAUGAUUAGUGUACGAUUGAAUCGGGGGCGUCACACACAUGAUGUGAAGAACAAAAAGAAAAGACAGAGAAGCAAAGGUAGAAAGGUAUCCCUCCCAAAUGAUGUUGCUACUAUUACCCAUUGUGAUGAUGAUAAUUGCUAUACAAUUGGUGCUAUCCAUACUAUUAAUAAUGAGAGUAAUUAUGCUUAUGCUAUGAAAAGGCCCAAGCUUGGGGAUGCUAUGUUUGAUGAGAAUGACAAGUUUGAGAAUAUAUUUGCUGCAAUUAAUGUUUGUCCCAAGCUUGGGGAUGCUAUGUUUAAUGAAGAUGAUAUUUUUAGCCUCCCAAGUUUUGAUGAGCAAAUUUAA
This 357-nucleotide ribosomal RNA is filed under the name Triticum aestivum (bread wheat). RNAcentral describes it as "partial small subunit ribosomal RNA". Lineage: Eukaryota; Viridiplantae; Streptophyta; Magnoliopsida; Poales; Poaceae. The record is from RNAcentral.